RNAcentral lists this ribosomal RNA (253 nucleotides) under uncultured bacterium. RNAcentral's name for it is "partial 16S ribosomal RNA". It matches the Rfam family "Bacterial small subunit ribosomal RNA", at positions 524 to 776 of the family's 1533-position model. The record is from RNAcentral.
UACGUAGGGGGCAAGCGUUGUCCGGAUUUAUUGGGCGUAAAGAGCGUGUAGGCGGCCAGGUAGGUCUGCUGUGAAAACUCCGAGGCUUAACCUCGAGAUGUCGGCGGAAACCAUCUGGCUAGAGUCCGGAAGAGGAGAAUGGAUUCCCGGUGUAGCGGUGAAAUGCGCAGAUAUCGGGAAGAACACCCGUGGCGAAGGCGGUUCUCUGGGACGGUACUGACGCUGAGGAGCGAAAGCGUGGGGAGCAAACAGG